Molecule: transfer RNA, 71 nt
Filed under: Trichechus manatus latirostris (Florida manatee)
Lineage: Eukaryota; Metazoa; Chordata; Mammalia; Sirenia; Trichechidae
Description: tRNA-Arg (TCT) (tRNA-Arg-TCT-25-1)
Rfam family: tRNA
About the family: Transfer RNA (tRNA) molecules are approximately 80 nucleotides in length. Their secondary structure includes four short double-helical elements and three loops (D, anti-codon, and T loops).
Source: Rfam by way of RNAcentral
ACAUUGGUGGUUCAGUGGUAGAAUUCUUCCCUUCUAUGCAGGAGACCUAGGUUCGAUUCCUAGCCAAUGCA